Molecule: non-coding RNA, 72 nt
Organism: Ipomoea triloba (trilobed morning glory)
Lineage: Eukaryota; Viridiplantae; Streptophyta; Magnoliopsida; Solanales; Convolvulaceae
Source: the annotation of a RefSeq genome assembly
GGGUUCUUAGCUCAGUGGUAGAGCAUUUGACUGCAUAUCAACAGGUCACCAGUUCAAAUCUGGUAGAGCCUU